Molecule: long non-coding RNA, 1118 nt
Organism: Hemicordylus capensis (graceful crag lizard)
Lineage: Eukaryota; Metazoa; Chordata; Lepidosauria; Squamata; Cordylidae
Exons: 3
Source: RefSeq, a predicted model, not a curated record
CAAUUAUCCUACACUGCCUCUUAUCAAUGCUUCCCCAUCCUCCCAUCCUUUCAUGACACAGCUGUGCUGCUGAAGGAACUUUGUCGAGUGCUGACUCCUUACAUUAAUUUAGAUUUCAUCCUGUUAACUGUGCUAAACGUGCAUCUCCUCCUCCUCCAUCUGCUCCUUCCAAUAUGACAUAUUGAUCAUUAUGGAAGCUGAUCAUUCAGGACUGGAUGUCCUGGAUUCUGAGAAGCUGACAACAUCUGUGCAGGAGUCAAACAUUCUCCAGAUGCAUCAGGUUACUCAAAUCCUCUACAGAAUGGAAAGAUAAAGAAAACCAAGAAGUUGGGUGAGCAAAUUCAGAAGAUCGUCUAUUUCCUUCUUCAAUUUACCUUCUGCUCUCAGAGUGGCAUAUAUUUUUAGGCUCUAUGGAAAAAUGGGGUCCCAUUUCAAGAAUGAAGAACCAAAUUUAGGGCUGUAUUUUUAUCUAAAAUGAACUAAGAAGGAGUGCCAUUCUCUCCGUAAAAUCACUAGCACCUAGUUUGCAAUUCCACACCUUCCACACAGAAAUGGUUACAUCCUGUACAUUCUUAUGUAAAAAGCAUAGUAAUUAAGAUUUAAAAUAGCAUCUGCUUCUUUCUUUAAAAUGCACAUAAUCUAGAAAGACUGGCCUCUUCCUUGAUUCUCAUCCGUCAGAAAUGUUAUUUGCAGAUAAUGCUGGUGAAUCACAUGUUUGAACAAGUUGCCUAGGAAAGCUGUAAAGCCAUCUUCUCUGUUUUAAAACAAAGAUUAUCAAGCAUGGUUUAGAAUUAUCUAGUGACUCUAAUAUUGUAUGGUUUAGGGUUAAUUGACCCAACAUUCCUUAAACCCUCAUCAUACAUCACAAAAUAUUAUCAUAGAAUUAUAGACACAUUAAAUUAGCUAGUCUCUCCUUGUUCUAAAAAAAUAAAAGUAACAUAUUCCUAAAGCACUCCUGCUAGACACAUCCCUAACUUCUUUGUAUCUCAUAAUAAUACAGGGUAUGGCCUAUAUUCUAUGAUAAUGUGGAUCCAGAAGAAAUAAGCAUUUACCUAGAGAUAGACAAAUUGUGCAUUUCACUGCAGCAGGGGCCCUGCUGCCCUAUUAAAAGCAUACAA